Unclassified non-coding RNA from Microcebus murinus (gray mouse lemur), 102 nucleotides. It matches the Rfam family "Y RNA". From Rfam's summary of the family: Y RNAs are components of the Ro ribonucleoprotein particle (Ro RNP), in association with Ro60 and La proteins. The Y RNAs and Ro60 and La proteins are well conserved, but the function of the Ro RNP is not known. The record is from Ensembl. NCBI's taxonomy places the organism in Eukaryota, Metazoa, Chordata, Mammalia, Primates, Cheirogaleidae.
GGUUGGUCCGAGUGCAGUGGUGUUUACAACUAAUUGAUCACAACCAGUUACAGAUUCCUUUGUUCCUUCUCCACUCCCACUGCUCCACCUGACCAGCCUUUA